GUAAUGUCUUCAUUCUGCUAUCAAACAUCAUUAAGGGCAAUGGUAACAUCAUCGGUCUCAGCAGCAGCAUUAGAUUAACACAGUGAUUGGCAACCUACAAAUGCCAGGCACUUGGAAGCAGCAUACCACAUCUUCAGUUUACAUCUUUUCCAUACUCUGCUCUAUGUAUUGGUUUCGAGCAGCUGCAUCUUGUGAAGACAAGGCUUAGAGCUGCGCUGUUCGGAAGAAGCGAGAUUGUCUUCCCUUACAGCUACGACGCUGCAUCGCUCUCGGCGUAUCCUGCUUUUUCCCCAUUUACCUGGGCGGCUGCUGCUGCUGUUUCUGCUGCUGCUACUGGGGCUGCUGCAGUCUCACUGCCUGUGCUUCACCCUGGCAUGUCUGAUUUGAGACUCACUCGUCUGCACACUGCUAAGGAAGAGCAGCGAUGGAACUUUGUGCGCAUUUUUUUCCUAUUGCUGCUGGAAAAGAAGGGUUGCAAUGUAGGGUGUUUUUCUGGGGGUUGAGGUGGGCUGUUAAUCUAAGGUGGGAUGGGAGAAAGUUUAAGGAAAUAUGACGCAAAGUAAUUCAGUACACAACAAGGGCAUCAGCAGCAAGAAUCCAGCCUUUGUGGCUCGAAAGGAUUAACGUGGGAGAAGCCACAGUGAUGCAGUAGUGCUUCACCUCAGCAUUGUGCUGGAGAUGGAUAAAUAAAGGUACCCGUUGUGUCCGCCUGUGAGGGUAA
Molecule: long non-coding RNA, 721 nt
Filed under: Crocodylus porosus (Australian saltwater crocodile)
Lineage: Eukaryota; Metazoa; Chordata; Crocodylia; Crocodylidae
Description: lncRNA (ENSCPRG00005003624.1)
Source: RNAcentral